CUGACACCAGAUAACGCACGAAUUAACAAGUGCAGGCUGCUUCCAGGACGUACUCAAGGUAGUGCUGGAGAGUGAACCUCAACACUUGUGGAUUCUCAGAGAGGUCUGGAUAAUCGUCAGAAGAUUUUGGGAAUGUCUUGAGCAAGGACAUUGGCAUCUAAGCUCCCAGCAUAGCCUGGCUGAGGCUUUGUGGCAGAAAGAUGCAGGUGCAAUGAGGCAGUCAUCUCAGUCCAACAAAGAACAACGCUUUUGGUAAGGAAAGUAGUUUUCUUUGUAAAUCUGAUCAGCUUUGAAAAACAAGCAAAAUGCUGAAGUAUCUGAAAGUUGCCUUUGAAGUAGAACAGUUUUCAUGUAAACUCAUCUUCUAUGUGAUAAAGUAAAUAACUUUUAAUCUUUG
Molecule: long non-coding RNA, 397 nt
Filed under: Gallus gallus (chicken)
Lineage: Eukaryota; Metazoa; Chordata; Aves; Galliformes; Phasianidae
Description: lncRNA (ENSGALG00010024329.1)
Source: RNAcentral